RNAcentral lists this ribosomal RNA (505 nucleotides) under uncultured Gammaproteobacteria bacterium. Its description in RNAcentral is "bacterial SSU rRNA". It matches the Rfam family "Bacterial small subunit ribosomal RNA", at positions 8 to 503 of the family's 1533-position model. The record is from RNAcentral. Lineage: Bacteria; Pseudomonadati; Pseudomonadota; Gammaproteobacteria.
AGAGUUUGAUCCUGGCUCAGAUUGAACGCUGGCGGUAUGCUUAACACAUGCAAGUCGAACGGUAACAGGCAAAAGCUUGCUUUUGCGCUGACGAGUGGCGGACGGGUGAGUAACGCGUAGGAAUCUGCCUAGUAGUGGGGGACAACCUGGUGAAAACCAGGCUAAUACCGCAUACGCCCUACGGGGGAAAGCGGGGGAUCUUCGGACCUCGCGCUAUUAGAUGAGCCUGCGUUAGAUUAGCUAGUUGGUGGGGUAAAGGCCUACCAAGGCGACGAUCUAUAGCUGGUCUGAGAGGACGAUCAGCCACACUGGGACUGAGACACGGCCCAGACUCCUACGGGAGGCAGCAGUGGGGAAUAUUGGACAAUGGGCNCAAGCCUGAUCCAGCAAUACCGCGUGUGUGAAGAAGGCCCGAGGGUUGUAAAGCACUUUCAAUUGGGAGGAAAAGUUUAGUGUUAAUAGCACUGAACCUGGACGUUACCUUAGAAGAAGCACCGGCANUNUG